RNAcentral lists this ribosomal RNA (449 nucleotides) under uncultured bacterium. RNAcentral describes it as "bacterial SSU rRNA". It matches the Rfam family "Bacterial small subunit ribosomal RNA", at positions 355 to 796 of the family's 1533-position model. The record is from RNAcentral.
UGGGGAAUAUUGGACAAUGGGGGCAACCCUGAUCCAGCAAUACCGCGUGUGUGAAGAAGGCCUUCGGGUUGUAAAGCACUUUAGAUUGGGAAGAAGGUUUGGUGUUUAAGAGAUAUCAAAUUUGACGGUACCAAUAGAAUAAGCACCGGCUAACUCUGUGCCAGCAGCCGCGGUAAUACAGAGGGUGCAAGCGUUAAUCGGAGUUACUGGGCGUAAAGGGCGCGUAGGCGGUUAUGUAAGUGAGAUGUGAAAUCCCUGGGCUCAACCUAGGAACUGCAUCUUAAACUGCAUAGCUGGAGUAUUGUAGAGGGUAGUGGAAUUUCCGGUGUAGCGGUGAAAUGCGUAGAGAUCGGAAGGAACACCAGUGGCGAAGGCGGCUACCUGGACAAAUACUGACGCUGAGGCGCGAAAGCGUGGGGAGCAAACAGGAUUAGAUACCCCUGUAGUCC